AUUUGGUGCAAGUCUGGUUAAUUCAUGCCUGGGCCCAUCCUACCAAAAUCAACCUAGUAAUUGUGGCACAACAUAUUUUGUUUUUCAUAUUUCAUUAUCUCUUAGGUAAUUUUCAAAGACUAUGUCAGCUGCCAACAUCAACCAAAUGUCCUCAAUGUGAACUUGACAGUGGCCUGUGAGUUCACAAAGGUCUCGUUCCAGGAAUGUGAUUCUCAUUACCAUGAUGUGAGAGAGAAACUGCUUAAAGAUAUUUGGCAAACAUUCUGUGGACAUUUGCAAAAGCAGGAACAAAACCAACCAAGAAGCAACCUUAGAACUUCAGUUUGAAAUCCAGAUCAUCCGCAGUAGGAGCCUAAAAGAAUUUCAGGAAAAGAUUUAAGGUGGUAGGAAACUGUAUUUUAAAUGUAGAGAAGUUACAUGUAACCCAAAUAAUUUCACAGUACCUCACACUUACUUAGUCUAUGUUUUGGUUACUUUGGAUAGAGCCAUACACCUAGAGAGUUUUUAUAUUUUGAUGUUCAGAGAAAUCAGAAAAAGCUUCAUGGAGGAGGUGGCAACAGAG
Molecule: long non-coding RNA, 562 nt
Filed under: Phascolarctos cinereus (koala)
Lineage: Eukaryota; Metazoa; Chordata; Mammalia; Diprotodontia; Phascolarctidae
Description: lncRNA (ENSPCIG00000033809.1)
Source: RNAcentral